UCAGUCGGUCGGGCAGCCGCGCCUGUCAUGUGCCGAAAGGCGGCAGGUGAGGAAAGUCCGGGCUCCAAGGAAACACGAUGCCGGGUAACGCCCGGCGGGGGCGACCCCAGGGAAAGUGCCACAGAAAGCAAACCGCCCCGUCUUCCGUACCGUUUCGGGUAAACGGCAGGGAUGACGGGGUAAGGGUGAAAGGGUGGGGUAAGAGCCCACCGCGCCGGCAGCAAUGCAGGCGGCACGGUAAACCCCAUCGGGAGCAAAACCGAAUAGGGACGGCGCGUCGGCUCGAAAGGGCAGGCAAUCGGUUUCCGGAUCAGCCGUCCGGGUGGGUUGCACGAGGCGGGUGGCGACAUCCGUCCCAGAUGAAUGGCUGCCGCGCCGGGCGCAAGCCCGGCCGUACAGAACCCGGCUUACAGACCGGCUGACAUU
This 426-nucleotide RNase P RNA is filed under the name Brucella abortus. RNAcentral describes it as "RNase P RNA component class A". It matches the Rfam family "Bacterial RNase P class A". Rfam says of the family: Ribonuclease P (RNase P) is a ubiquitous endoribonuclease, found in archaea, bacteria and eukarya as well as chloroplasts and mitochondria. Its best characterised activity is the generation of mature 5'-ends of tRNAs by cleaving the 5'-leader elements of precursor-tRNAs. Cellular RNase Ps are ribonucleoproteins. The record is from RNAcentral. RNAcentral also lists the same sequence under 24 other names. Lineage: Bacteria; Pseudomonadati; Pseudomonadota; Alphaproteobacteria; Hyphomicrobiales; Brucellaceae.